CGCGGUAAUACGUAGGGUGCAAGCGUUAAUCGGAAUUACUGGGCNUAAAGCGUGCGCAGGCGGCCUGAUAAGUCAKAUGUGAAAUCCCCGMGCUCAACUUGGGAACUGCGUUUGAAACUAUCAAGCUAGAAUAUGUCARAGGGGGGUAGAAUUCCACGUGUAGCAGKGAAAUGCGUAGAGAUGUGGAGGAAUACCAAUGGCGAAGGCAGCCCCCUGGGAUAAUAUUGACCGCUCAUGCACAAAAGCGUGGGGAGCAAACAGGAUUAGAUCCCCUGGUAGUCC
RNAcentral lists this ribosomal RNA (282 nucleotides) under uncultured bacterium. RNAcentral's name for it is "partial 16S ribosomal RNA". It matches the Rfam family "Bacterial small subunit ribosomal RNA", at positions 516 to 796 of the family's 1533-position model. The record is from RNAcentral.